This 450-nucleotide ribosomal RNA is filed under the name uncultured bacterium. Its description in RNAcentral is "partial 16S ribosomal RNA". It matches the Rfam family "Bacterial small subunit ribosomal RNA", at positions 354 to 796 of the family's 1533-position model. The record is from RNAcentral.
GUGAGGAAUAUUGCGCAAUGGGCGAAAGCCUGACGCAGCGACGCCGCGUGAGGGACGACGGCCUUCGGGUUGUAAAGCUCUGUUAAUCGGGACGAAAGAGCCUAGUGUGAAUAAUGCUAGGAAGUGACGGUACCGGAAUAGAAAGCCACGGCUAACUACGUGCCAGCAGCCGCGGUAAUACGUAGGUGGCAAGCGUUGUCCGGAAUUAUUGGGCGUAAAGCGCGCGCAGGCGGAUCUGCCAGUCUGUCUUAAAAGUUCGGGGCUUAACCCCGUGAUGGGAUGGAAACUACAGAUCUAGAGUAUCGGAGAGGAAAGUGGAAUUCCUAGUGUAGCGGUGAAAUGCGUAGAUAUUAGGAAGAACACCAGUGGCGAAGGCGACUUUCUGGACGAAAACUGACGCUGAGGCGCGAAAGCCAGGGGAGCGAACGGGAUUAGAAACCCGGGUAGUCC